Molecule: long non-coding RNA, 1423 nt
Filed under: Carica papaya (papaya)
Lineage: Eukaryota; Viridiplantae; Streptophyta; Magnoliopsida; Brassicales; Caricaceae
Description: long non-coding RNA (CPAP_LNC014059)
Source: RNAcentral
UGCCAACAGACUCAGUCAACCUAAAGCCAUUAGUUGCCAUGUCUACUACCGCCACAAGAAAAGCAGAGCAGCUUUAACAAACUGAUUUGGGAAAUUUGACAGCUUUAUUAACAUGUUUUCUUUUAAUUUCUGCUCAGUUAUUUUCUAUGAUUUCUUAUCUCAAAAAGUUAUUUUCCAUGAUUUCAGUUUCAACCACCUUAAAUGGAUAGUCAAAACAACUAAUACUGUUUCAAGAAAAGAAUAGAAAACUUCAAAACCAUCAAGGGUAAUCCAUAUAAACACAAAUUUAUAAUUUGUUAGUCACUUAUAGUCCAUCUCCAUCGUAAUAAAAAUAUUAACCAUGAUUUUUUCCAAACCAUUAUAAAAUCCAGUAGACUUAUUUCAAAAAUACAUAUCCUACCAAAAGUAUCCAUGUAUAAGAAGAAAAUUAUUAUUACUGCCAAGAAUAAUAUGGCCAUGGACUCAGUCAACCUAAGGCCGUUUAGUGGCCAUGUCUAUAACUGCUGCAAGAAAAGAGGAGCAGCUUUACCCAACUGAUUUGGGUAAUCUGCCCGUUUGACCUAUAUUUAUUGUUUUUGAAUUUCUGUUCAGUUAUUUUAUAUUAUUUCAGUUCCUACUUUGAUAUCAUGUGAUAUUUUUAUGUUCUGUUUCUUUAGGUGGCAGUUAUCCGCUUUCUAGGAAAAGUGCUGUUGUACAUUCUGUACUUAAAGACAUUUCCCAUGAUGAAUGAAAGUAAGAGAGUUUUUAUCCAGAAAAAGUGUGAGUUUCUUGCUAAACUUAGAGAUAAAAGAAUUCUCCAAUUAGCCCUUACUAACUGGUCAAGCUAGGUCAUAUACAGGAAGAAAAGCAAGUAAACAUUCACUUCCAAUUUUUGAGUUAUAUGUUGACGGAUCAUAACUUGAUCCCUACUACAGCCUCUAACAAUUUGGCAGCAGAGCCAAUCGUUAUGCAUGGAAGAUUUUCUCACUCUUCAACAACAAUUUGAUACAUUUCUAAACACGUAUCAAGAGGAUCCAACUACAACUGAACAAUUAAGCUCUGGCUGCUACAGUUGCAAGAGCUGCCCUUUAAGUUGCCUAUAAAGAGACGUGGCCACUAAAUGGAUUUGACCGAAUACUAUUCUCGACAGUCAUAUAAAAAUAAAGUAGAAAUAAAAAAGAAAGAUGAAAAAAAAAAAACCUUUUGCAAGAGAAACAUCUUCUCAAAAUUUCCAUUGCCAUGGUAUACAAUUUAUGCCACAAACCAGAGUCUGUUUGAAGAUUUGAGAUACUUUUGCUUAAAGGAAAUGAGCCAAUUACAAAUGAAUUGUUAAACAGCCAAAGAAAGAAGCUUCCAUCAGCUAAAUUAAAAUAUUUAUCUAUAUAUAUAUAUAUAUGUGUGUGUUUGAGUAUGUAUAUACGGGAUGAGAUAAGAAAAACAGUUA